RNAcentral lists this RNase P RNA (295 nucleotides) under Candidatus Bathyarchaeota archaeon. Its description in RNAcentral is "RNase P RNA component". It matches the Rfam family "Archaeal RNase P". Rfam says of the family: Ribonuclease P (RNase P) is a ubiquitous endoribonuclease, found in archaea, bacteria and eukarya as well as chloroplasts and mitochondria. Its best characterised activity is the generation of mature 5'-ends of tRNAs by cleaving the 5'-leader elements of precursor-tRNAs. Lineage: Archaea; Thermoproteati; Candidatus Bathyarchaeota. The record is from RNAcentral.
GUGAGCUGGCGGACGGCUUUCGAGCGAUUAUGCUUGAGGAAACUCCGCCCACUGUACAGGCCGCAGCGCUGCAAAGCGCAGGGCGAGAGCCCUGGCUCCGGAACAGAAACGAAACGUCCAUCCAACCUGUGACGAUGACGUGUGCCAAAUCAUCGAGUAUGGCUGGGUGGAAGCGGUGAAACGGCCGUCCUGCGGGGUGAAAGGGCGAAUAGGCACUGAUGAUUCUGUGGGAGGUGCGGGUAGCCCGUUCAGACGAAUGCCGUCUAGAACAGAAGGCGGGUUACAGCCAGCACAC